CAAUCCUUUUGUUGUUUUAGAGCUGUUUCUGCAUUUAUAAUCCAAUGCACUGGCUGUGCUUCUUUUUUCACAGAGCAAUCUCUUUGAUUGAGGAGGUUGUUUCAGGAAUGAGUACAUAUGAUGAGGUUGGUCAAUUAUUACUUAGAAUGACUGAGCUUUUCCCAAGUUCGAUGAUCUAUUGACAUCUAUCUUUGGUUGGGUUGGUUUAUGGUUGGUAUCCUUGUCAUGCAUUAUUGAGGCUUUAAUACAGCAGACAAAUGGAAGAGAGCCAUAUUGCUUGUUCCCAUAUUCAAGGUUGUCUGUGGCACGAGCUUACUAGAUCGUUUCUUUUUACAAUAGGAUGGAGGACAUCUGCAAUAAGACUCCUGCUGUGGACUUUCAGCUGCAUAUCUUUGGACUUGAUGCUUCUGGUUCUUGUUUUCCAGAGUUCGUGUUUCUUAUGAGCAAAAGAUUCUGGUGUCAGUGAAUAAGAAGGAAAUUUUGAAGUUCCCUUGCCAUUGAUCAACAGAUCUUCACAAUGUUAUGGUUUCCAAAAUGAUGGUGAUUUCAAUUUGGUCAAUUGGUUGUUAAGUCCGAGGUUUUUCUAUUCAGUUCUGAUCUUGACGCACCAUCAAUAAGUCAAAACAAUGUGGAAACAACUUGCUUUUAUAUGGAUAAGGUUUCUAAGUUGUCUUUAAUAGCAAUGGAAUUUGAUUAAGACA
Long non-coding RNA from Eucalyptus grandis, 701 nucleotides. RefSeq lists it as uncharacterized. The record is from RefSeq and is a predicted model, not a curated record. Lineage: Eukaryota; Viridiplantae; Streptophyta; Magnoliopsida; Myrtales; Myrtaceae. The transcript has 2 exons.